ACCUCGUAUGCUUAGUAGCGGCGAGUGAGCGGCAAGAGCUCAAAUUUGAAAUCUGGUACUUUCAGUAUCCGAGUUGUAAUUUGAAGAAAGUUAUCUUGGAGUUGGCCCUUGUCUAUGUUCCUUGGAACAGGACGUCACAGAGGGUGAGAAUCCCGUGCGAUGGGGUGCCCAUUCUAUGUAAGAUACUUUCGACGAGUCGAGUUGUUUGGGAAUGCAGCUCUAAGUGGGUGGUAAAUUCCAUCUAAAGCUAAAUAUUGGCGAGAGACCGAUAGCGAACAAGUACAGUGAUGGAAAGAUGAAAAGAACUUUGAAAAGAGAGUGAAAAAGUACGUGAAAUUGUUGAAAGGGAAGGGUAUUUGAUCAGACUGAUAUUCAGUUAACACUGUUCCUUGUGGAUGGUGCUCUAGCUUUUUAUUGGGCCAGCAUCAGUUUAGGUGGCAGGAUAAGAACUGUUGAACGUGGCUCUUCGGAGUGUUAUAGCUUCAGUUGAUACUGCCUAUCUAGACUGAGGUCUGCGGCUUUGCCUAGGAUGCUGGCGUAAUGGUCUAAUACCACCCGUCUUGAAAACACGGACCC
Molecule: ribosomal RNA, 576 nt
Filed under: [Candida] boidinii
Lineage: Eukaryota; Fungi; Ascomycota; Pichiomycetes; Pichiales; Pichiaceae
Description: eukaryotic LSU rRNA
Rfam family: Eukaryotic large subunit ribosomal RNA
Source: RNAcentral